RNAcentral lists this transfer RNA (72 nucleotides) under Camelus bactrianus (Bactrian camel). It matches the Rfam family "tRNA". Rfam says of the family: Transfer RNA (tRNA) molecules are approximately 80 nucleotides in length. The record is from Rfam by way of RNAcentral. RNAcentral also lists the same sequence under 2 other names. Lineage: Eukaryota; Metazoa; Chordata; Mammalia; Artiodactyla; Camelidae.
GUGGGUAUAGCUCAGUGGCAGAGUGCAAGCUUAGCAUGCAUGAGGUCCUGAGUUCAAUCCCCAGUCCCUCCA